Molecule: ribosomal RNA, 233 nt
Filed under: uncultured bacterium
Lineage: Bacteria
Description: partial 16S ribosomal RNA
Rfam family: Bacterial small subunit ribosomal RNA
Source: RNAcentral
GGGUGCGUAACGCGUAUACAAUCUACCUUUCGCUGAGGGAUAGCCCAGAGAAAUUUGGAUUAAUACCUCAUGGUAUUAUUGAUAGGCAUCUAUUAAUAAUUAAAGGUUACGGCAAAAGAUGAGCAUGCGUCCCAUUAGUUAGUUGGUAAGGUAACGGCUUACCAAGACAGCGAUGGGUAGGGGCCCUGAGAGGGGGAUCCCCCACACUGGUACUGAGACACGGACCAGACUCC